GCCCUCGUAGCUCAGGGGAUAGAGCACCGAUCUCCUAAAUCGGGUGUCGCAGGUUCGAGUCCUGCCGGGGGCA
This 73-nucleotide transfer RNA is filed under the name Streptoalloteichus tenebrarius. RNAcentral's name for it is "tRNA-Arg". It matches the Rfam family "tRNA". From Rfam's summary of the family: Transfer RNA (tRNA) molecules are approximately 80 nucleotides in length. Their secondary structure includes four short double-helical elements and three loops (D, anti-codon, and T loops). Further hydrogen bonds mediate the characteristic L-shaped molecular structure. tRNAs have two regions of fundamental functional importance: the anti-codon, which is responsible for specific mRNA codon recognition, and the 3' end, to which the tRNAs corresponding amino acid is attached (by aminoacyl-tRNA synthetases). tRNAs cope with the degeneracy of the genetic code in two manners: having more than one tRNA (with a specific anti-codon) for a particular amino acid; and 'wobble' base-pairing, i.e. permitting non-standard base-pairing at the 3rd anti-codon position. RNAcentral also lists the same sequence under 3 other names. Lineage: Bacteria; Bacillati; Actinomycetota; Actinomycetes; Pseudonocardiales; Pseudonocardiaceae. The record is from RNAcentral.